GACAGAGGGUGCAAACGUUGCUCGGAAUCACUGGGCGUAAAGGGCGUGUAGGCGGGACAGUAAGUCGGGCGUGAAAUCCCUGGGCUCAACCCAGGAACUGCACUCGAAACUACUAUUCUUGAGUGUCGGAGAGGAAAGCGGAAUUCCUGGUGUAGAGGUGAAAUUCGUAGAUAUCAGGAGGAACACCAGUGGCGAAGGCGGCUUUCUGGA
This 210-nucleotide ribosomal RNA is filed under the name uncultured bacterium. RNAcentral describes it as "partial 16S ribosomal RNA". It matches the Rfam family "Bacterial small subunit ribosomal RNA", at positions 524 to 733 of the family's 1533-position model. The record is from RNAcentral.